This 74-nucleotide transfer RNA is filed under the name Coxiella-like endosymbiont. It matches the Rfam family "tRNA". Rfam says of the family: Transfer RNA (tRNA) molecules are approximately 80 nucleotides in length. The record is from Rfam by way of RNAcentral. Lineage: Bacteria; Pseudomonadati; Pseudomonadota; Gammaproteobacteria; Legionellales; Coxiellaceae.
GGCUAUGUAGCUCAGUUGGUUAGAGCAUAGCAUUCAUAAUGCUGGAGUCGGUGGUUCGAACCCACCCAUAGCCA